This is a long non-coding RNA of Medicago truncatula (barrel medic), 749 nucleotides long. RefSeq lists it as uncharacterized. The record is from RefSeq and is a predicted model, not a curated record. The transcript has 2 exons. Lineage: Eukaryota; Viridiplantae; Streptophyta; Magnoliopsida; Fabales; Fabaceae.
UGUAAUUAUAAGUAUUUGAAUGCUUGAUGUUAAUCAAUGCAAGAGUUUGUGCUGUUAGAAACAUUAUUAUGAUAGUUAUGUUUUUCGACUGGGUUAAAUGAUCUUCAUGUGUGUCUACACCUUUUCUGCCUAUACUUUAUUCCAUAUUUUUAUAUUAAUCAAGCCGAAUUUUCCUUUUUAGUUAACGGCAUAAUGCACGUGGCCAAUUUUCUUGAACCAUUUUCCGUUCUACAUAAUAAUUUUGAAAUGACUUUCCAAGAUGAUUACUAUCUGCAUUUAUAUGAAUGAAAAGGUUAUUUGAAUUGUACACUAUCUUGACGAGGAGAUCUUCCUAUAUUUAGUAUUCUUGCAGAGUGUUGCAAAGAUGGGCUGGAUAUGUCCUGCACAGUGAACAUAAUAUCUGGAGGGCUCUGAUUUUGUAUGUUGCCGCUGUGCACUACAAGAAGCAUUGGCAUCUCUUCGUGAGGCUCAGCUACCCGAUACAGGUGCAAUGUUUAUCCUUGCAUGCCGUGAAAUCCAUGCAGAGAUUGUUUCUGACUUAGGUAUUACUGGCGAUGAAUAAAGUUCAUCGGUUAAUGAUAGGAUACUAACUUGCAUGCUUUAUAUCCUGAAAAUGAAGAUGUAGUUGCAGUUGAUGAAUACUUUGGGCAAUACCAAAGAAAAUUGGUGCAUCUAUGCAUGGAUUCACAUCCAUCCUCUGACUAAGUAUAGGGCUUGUGAAAUAUAUUCAAAUUAUUCAUUUAUAUUCA